GACGAACGCUGGCGGCGUGCUUAACACAUGCAAGUCGAACGGAAAGGCCCUGCUUUUGUGGGGUGCUCGAGUGGCGAACGGGUGAGUAACACGUGAGUAACCUGCCCUUGACUUUGGGAUAACUUCAGGAAACUGGGGCUAAUACCGGAUAGGAGCUCCUGCUGCAUGGUGGGGGUUGGAAAGUUUCGGCGGUUGGGGAUGGACUCGCGGCUUAUCAGCUUGUUGGUGGGGUAGUGGCUUACCAAGGCUUUGACGGGUAGCCGGCCUGAGAGGGUGACCGGCCACAUUGGGACUGAGAUACGGCCCAGACUCCUACGGGAGGCAGCAGUGGGGAAUACUGCACAAUGGGCGGAAGCCUGAUGCAGCAACGCCGCGUGCGGGAUGACGGCCUUCGGGUUGUAAACCGCUUUCGCCUGUGACGAAGCGUGAGUGACGGUAAUGGGUAAAGAAGCACCGGCUAACUACGUGCCAGCAGCCGCGGUGAUACGUAGGGUGCGAGCGUUGUCCGGAUUUAUUGGGCGUAAAGGGCUCGUAGGUGGUUGAUCGCGUCGGAAGUGUAAUCUUGGGGCUUAACCCUGAGCGUGCUUUCGAUACGGGUUGACUUGAGGAAGGUAGGGGAGAAUGGAAUUCCUGGUGGAGCGGUGGAAUGCGCAGAUAUCAGGAGGAACACCAGUGGCGAAGGCGGUUCUCUGGGCCUUUCCUGACGCUGAGGAGCGAAAGCGUGGGGAGCGAACAGGCUUAGAUACCCUGGUAGUCCACGCUGUAAACGGUGGGUACUAGGUGUGGGGUCCAUUCCACGGGUUCCGUGCCGUAGCUAACGCUUUAAGUACCCCGCCUGGGGAGUACGGCCGCAAGGCUAAAACUCAAAGGAAUUGACGGGGCCCCGCACAAGCGGCGGAGCAUGCGGAUUAAUUCGAUGCAACGCGUAGAACCUUACCUGGGUUUGACAUGGAUCGGGAGUGCUCAGAGAUGGGUGUGCCUCUUUUGGGGUCGGUUCACAGGUGGUGCAUGGCUGUCGUCAGCUCGUGUCGUGAGAUGUUGGGUUAAGUCCCGCAACGAGCGCAACCCUUGUUCACUGUUGCCAGCACGUUAUGGUGGGGACUCAGUGGAGACCGCCGGGGUCAACUCGGAGGAAGGUGGGGAUGACGUCAAGUCAUCAUGCCCCUUAUGUCCAGGGCUUCACGCAUGCUACAAUGGCUGGUACAGAGAGUGGCGAGCCUGUGAGGGUGAGCGGAUCUCGGAAAGCCGGUCUCAGUUCGGAUUGGGGUCUGCAACUCGACCUCAUGAAGUCGGAGUCGCUAGUAAUCGCAGAUCAGCAACGCUGCGGUGAAUACGUUCCCGGGGCU
This 1346-nucleotide ribosomal RNA is filed under the name uncultured bacterium. Its description in RNAcentral is "partial 16S ribosomal RNA". It matches the Rfam family "Bacterial small subunit ribosomal RNA", at positions 28 to 1381 of the family's 1533-position model. The record is from RNAcentral.